Molecule: ribosomal RNA, 253 nt
Filed under: uncultured bacterium
Lineage: Bacteria
Description: partial 16S ribosomal RNA
Rfam family: Bacterial small subunit ribosomal RNA
Source: RNAcentral
UACGUAGGGACCAAGCGUUGUCCGGAAUCAUUGGGCGUAAAGAGCGUGUAGGCGGCUUGUUAAGUCUUGCGUGAAAUCUCGGGGCUCAACCCCGAGCGGUCGUGAGAAACUGGCAGGCUAGAGUGCGGGAGAGGAGAGUGGAAUUCCUGGUGUAGCGGUGAAAUGCGCAGAUAUCAGGAAGAACACCCGUGGCGAAGGCGGCUCUCUGGAGCGCAACUGACGCUGAGACGCGAAAGCGUGGGGAGCAAACAGG